GCGACCCCAGGAUGGGCGAGGCCACCCGCCGAGUUUAAGCAUAUCAAUAAGCGGAGGACAAGAAACUUACAAGGAUUCCCUAUACG
Molecule: ribosomal RNA, 86 nt
Filed under: Maxillaria rufescens
Lineage: Eukaryota; Viridiplantae; Streptophyta; Magnoliopsida; Asparagales; Orchidaceae
Also listed under: 1 other name
Description: partial 26S ribosomal RNA
Rfam family: Eukaryotic large subunit ribosomal RNA
Source: RNAcentral